RNAcentral lists this non-coding RNA (21 nucleotides) under Caenorhabditis elegans. Lineage: Eukaryota; Metazoa; Nematoda; Chromadorea; Rhabditida; Rhabditidae. The record is from RNAcentral.
UUGGUAUCGCUCCAGAUUUCC